GGGCCCGUAGUUCAGUGGUAAAACGACCGGUUUGCAUCCGGUAGGCCGGAGUUCGAUUCUCCGCGGGUCCA
Molecule: transfer RNA, 71 nt
Filed under: bacterium
Lineage: Bacteria
Description: tRNA-Ala
Rfam family: tRNA
About the family: Transfer RNA (tRNA) molecules are approximately 80 nucleotides in length. Their secondary structure includes four short double-helical elements and three loops (D, anti-codon, and T loops).
Source: RNAcentral